Molecule: RNA transcript, 2420 nt
Organism: Lagenorhynchus albirostris (white-beaked dolphin)
Lineage: Eukaryota; Metazoa; Chordata; Mammalia; Artiodactyla; Delphinidae
Gene: PRR16
Gene name: proline rich 16
Exons: 3
Source: RefSeq, a predicted model, not a curated record
GCGGCCACCCGGCCGACCGCCGAGCGCAGCCACCCGCCGCUGCCCGGGGAGCGUCCAAGAUGUGGGGGGACUGGGGCGGCAGCGGCCGCCGCGGCGCCAGGGACCGGGGCGCGCAGCAGCCUCCGCUCGCCCGCCUGUGCUGACCUGCCUCGCUUGCCCCCAAAGAAUGUCAGCCAAGUCCAAGGGGACCCCCUCCUCGUCCUCUCCAGCCGAGGGACCGCCGGCAGCCUCCAAAACCAAGGUGAAGGAACAGAUCAAGAUCAUCGUGGAGGAUCUGGAAUUAGUCCUGGGCGACCUGAAGGACGUGGCCAAGGAACUUAAGGAGGUGGUUGACCAGAUUGAUACCCUGACUUCUGACCUACAGCUGGAGGAUGAGAUGACCGACAGCUCCAAAACGGACACCCUGAAUAGUAGCUCAAGUGGGACAACAGCCUCCAGCAUAGAGAAGAUCAAAGUGCAGGCCAACGCCCCCCUCAUUAAACCCCCAGCCCACCCGUCUGCUAUCCUCACCGUCCUGAGAAAGCCAAACCCUCCCCCUCCCCCUCCACGGUUGACACCUGUGAAGUGUGAAGACCCGCAAAGAGUGGUGUCCACUGUCAAUCCGGUAAAGACCAAUGGCACCCUUCUGCGAAACAGAGGCUUCCCAGGGGCACCAAACAAAAUUCCAAACGGAGACGUUUGCUGCAAACCCAGCAGUAACUUGGACAAGGCUCCAGUGCAGCCUCUGAUGCACAGACCUGAAAAAGACAGGUGCCCCCAAGCAGGGCCUCGGGAGCGAGUUCGGUUUAAUGAAAAAGUCCAGUACCAUGGCUAUUGUCCUGACUGUGACACCCGGCAUCACAUAAAAAAUAGGGAGGUCCACUCACACAGCGAACCUGUCCACCCACCAGGAAAGCUUCCUCCCCAUGGCCCUGCCCAGCCUCCUCCCCCUCACCUCCCUCCUUUUCCACUAGAAAACGGGGGGCUGGGAAUAAGCCACAGUAACAGCUUCCCCCCACUCAGACCUGCACCUGUGCCUCCUCCCACUGCACCAAAACCACAGAAGACGAUCUUGAGGAAAUCAACCACUACAACAGUGUGAUGUAUGCCAUUUAAAAAAACUUUUUUGUUUUUUUUAACUCUUAUAUUAUAAACAUAAAAUAAUACGUAAUGAGCACUUUCUACUCAAGCAAUAAAAAGCCCAAAUAUAUUUAUCCUGCAUUCAGCAGAGUGGCAUAAAAAAUCACCGGCUCCUUCAGGUUGGAAGGAAUACCUUUAUUUGGAGGCAUGUCAGUUCAUUUUUGUCACUUCAGAUUCAUCAUUAUGACUUCUUGAGGCCAGAUCUAAUUUUGAAGUAACCAGAAACCUGUCCAUCUUGGAGCAGCAAACCCCUCAACUUGGAGCACAAAUGAUCACUGAUAUGGUCUACAUAAAACCAUCUGCCUCUACUCUGACAGCCAUGAGCAGAGCCCUGGGGGCAAAAAAAGCCACAGCCUUAAAUCUCUUUACUCAGAUAUUACCAAGAAGAUUAAAAAAAAAAAGAUGAAAAGGACUGAAGAAGCAAACCUACAAAAAACCAAAAAGCAAACAAAAAAAUCCAUCUUAUUUUACCAUUGAAAUUAGUCCCAGAUGUGAACACCAAAAAAUUUAUAUUCAGUAAUUCAGCCAGUAAAUUAUAAUUUAUCAUUUGGGAAGGUGGAAGUAUAGAAAUAGGUAUCUGUAGCCAGAACUACUCAGCAUUUCAAAAUAUGUAGACAAAAACAAAACAAAUAAACAAAACUGAACAAAUGAAGGAACACUGCAGCAAUGAACAAUAUUAGAACAGAAUGUUGCUGUUUGCAAAGAGGACGUUUGCCAUCUUCUGUACACAUUCAAAGCCAUAACGGAAUAAGAGUAUUGUCAAUUGCUUGAAAAUUUUCUGCAUUCAAUCCUUCACCCCAUAUUGGUUGAGAGAGGAGGGGUCAGUUCUUGCUGAUUACUUCUCAAUGAACUUCUACUAUUUGCACUGUCACUUCCAUUCAGGGUAAUGAUGUGUGCUGUUAUUUGCACAGAUGGUCCCAUGAGUUUUGAGACCACAGCAAAGUUUCUUGCAGGAGUCCAAAAAGGAAACAUUUAAGAAUUCUCCAGACAUUGAUUUCUCUUUCUUCUAUUAAAAAUCAGUUAUCUAAUAAAAAAUGGACUUGUCUCAGAUUAAAGAACAACUACAAAAUAAUAAUGAAAAAAAAUCAGUGUGGUCAAAUGAAUGAAAAAGGGUUCAAAAGGUUUUUUUAGUGAGGAUCAUUUUAUAUCAUUAACAGCCAAGAAGUCAAAUACAGUGGACUGUACACUAAACAUCUGUGUUGAACAUCUAUUUGUUCUCUUAAUUAACAAAACCAUUUGUAAUUUGUAUUUGACAUAAGAGAUUUUUAUAGCCAUUUAUCUAUGCUUCAUGGGAAAAUGUA